CCUACGGGAGGCAGCAGUGGGGGAUAUUGCACAAUGGGGGAAACCCUGAUGCAGCGACGCCGCGUGGGUGAAGAAGCGCCUCGGCGCGUAAAGCCCUGUCAGCAGGGAAGAAAAUGACGGUACCUGAAGAAGAAGCCCCGGCUAACUACGUGCCAGCAGCCGUGGUAAUACGUAGGGGGCAAGCGUUAUCCGGAUUUACUGGGUGUAAAGGGGGCGCAGACGGCGAUGCAAGCCAGGAGUGAAAGCCCGGGGCCCAACCCCGGGACUGCUCGUGGAACUGCGUGGCUAGAGUGCAGGAGGGGCAGGCGGAAUGCCUGGUGUAGCGGUGAAAUGCGUAGAGAUCAGGAGGAACACCGGUGGCGAAGGCGGCCUGCUGGACUGCAACUGACGUUGAGGCCCGAAAGCGUGGGGAGCAAACAGGAUUAGAUACCCUAGUAGUC
Molecule: ribosomal RNA, 440 nt
Filed under: uncultured bacterium
Lineage: Bacteria
Description: partial 16S ribosomal RNA
Rfam family: Bacterial small subunit ribosomal RNA
Source: RNAcentral